Molecule: long non-coding RNA, 936 nt
Organism: Diceros bicornis minor
Lineage: Eukaryota; Metazoa; Chordata; Mammalia; Perissodactyla; Rhinocerotidae
Exons: 3
Source: RefSeq, a predicted model, not a curated record
UGCUGCUCGUUUGGGUCUUAUCUCACCAAAUACUGACAUUUCAAUUAUUAAUAAAUGUUUGAUUAGACCAGAUCAGUAUAAUUGUGAAGUGAGGUAGAUCAUAAAUUUGCUGUCUUCCUCCAUUUAUAUUAUCAGGUGUAUACAAGACACUCAGUUGAUCGCAAGGACACACAGACGAUUAAAAGUAGACUGCUGCUCCUUCCGCAGCCUGAAGUGAAAUGGAAGGAGAUCACCCGUUGCCUUGCACCAUGACCGGUAGGUUGCUACAGGUGUGGACGGGGUGCGGCGAAGGAGUGCUUGUGGGGACGACAGAAGCCUUCUAGGAAAGGUUCUGGAACACAUCUCCCAUUAUGAAGUGGGCCUGAAGGUGUGAGUGGAAACACAGCUUCUUACUCACACUCCCCACCCUCAUCUUCCAGCAGUGAGGGAAGGAUAUCAAUGUUCCCAUGGCACCAAGGAUUCAAGCAAUGGGUUAAUGGGGAUCCUGGACAUGUAUUUCCUCACCAGUGAAAAUUAAAUGAAGACCCAGGAGUUACUACAGCUAUAGUGAUGAGAAGAAAGCUUCAGCAGCUAGAGUGUGUUGCAAGACAGCACUUCCCUCCUUCUAUCAAGAAGUUCAACUCCACCAACAUAUCACGACUCCCAAAAGCCAUCUGGAUUUGUCCUUAGCAAUAUCGUAAGCCUACUCAUAAGGACGACUUUUAACAGAAACUCUCCUAGAAACAAUUUUAUUCAAAGGGUCUGUAUAUUUUUCUUGGAAAAAAUGUAAAUAUUGUUUCAACAGUGUUUAAAGCAUAGAUGUAAUAGCAUAGCAGUGCUAAGAAUCCAUGUGCUAUUUAAUUCCUAAAUUAGCAAAAUAUUAUGUCUCUACAUCUGACAGUGUAUGUGUCUGUAAUAGUUUUGAGGGCUUUUUCUUAGUAUUUCUUUGUAUAUUUG